UCCCUGGAGAAAUAGUGGUUAGACCACGGCACUCUUACCGCUGCGGCCCGGGUUCAAUUCCUGGCCAGGGAA
This 72-nucleotide transfer RNA is filed under the name Pangasianodon hypophthalmus (striped catfish). It matches the Rfam family "tRNA". From Rfam's summary of the family: Transfer RNA (tRNA) molecules are approximately 80 nucleotides in length. Their secondary structure includes four short double-helical elements and three loops (D, anti-codon, and T loops). Further hydrogen bonds mediate the characteristic L-shaped molecular structure. tRNAs have two regions of fundamental functional importance: the anti-codon, which is responsible for specific mRNA codon recognition, and the 3' end, to which the tRNAs corresponding amino acid is attached (by aminoacyl-tRNA synthetases). tRNAs cope with the degeneracy of the genetic code in two manners: having more than one tRNA (with a specific anti-codon) for a particular amino acid; and 'wobble' base-pairing, i.e. permitting non-standard base-pairing at the 3rd anti-codon position. Lineage: Eukaryota; Metazoa; Chordata; Actinopteri; Siluriformes; Pangasiidae. The record is from Rfam by way of RNAcentral.